Molecule: ribosomal RNA, 116 nt
Filed under: Pteropus alecto (black flying fox)
Lineage: Eukaryota; Metazoa; Chordata; Mammalia; Chiroptera; Pteropodidae
Source: RNAcentral
GUCUAGGGCCAUGCCACCCUGAACAAGCCUGAUGUCUGAUCUCAGAAGCUAAGCAGGGUUGGGCCCGGUUAGUACUUGGAUGGGAGACCACCUAGGAAGACCAGGUGCUGUAGGCA